Molecule: ribosomal RNA, 460 nt
Filed under: uncultured bacterium
Lineage: Bacteria
Description: partial 16S ribosomal RNA
Rfam family: Bacterial small subunit ribosomal RNA
Source: RNAcentral
CCUACGGGUGGCAGCAGUGAGGAAUAUUGGUCAAUGGACGAGAGUCUGAACCAGCCAAGUAGCGUGAAGGAUGACUGCCCUAUGGGUUGUAAACUUCUUUUAUAUGGGAAUAAAAUGUUCCACGUGUGGGAUUUUGUAUGUACCAUAUGAAUAAGGAUCGGCUAACUCCGUGCCAGCAGCCGCGGUAAUACGGAGGAUCCGACCGUUAUCCGGAUUUAUUGGGUUUAAAGGGAGCGUAGGUGGAUUGUUAAGUCAGUUGUGAAAGUUUGCGGCUCAACCGUAAAAUUGCAGUUGAAACUGGCAGUCUUGAGUACAGGAGAGGUGGGCGGAAUUCGUGGUGUAGCGGUGAAAUGCUUAGAUAUCACGAAGAACUCCGAUUGCGAAGGCAGUUCACUGGACUGCAACUGACACUGAGGCUCGAAAGUGUGGGUAUCAAACAGGAUUAGAUACCCUAGUAGUC